ACUUUUGUCCAAAAAGUAUCAAAUCCACCUUAUAUGACAGUACGAAUUAAUAUUAUAACAAAAUUAUUUCCUGUAUAUUAUGUUCGUGAUUCCUGCGUGGAGAGAUUGAUUUUUAUUGACCAAAUAAAGAAUUCACAAGAGCUCAAAUGGAAAACAUAUGUUUCAUAUGCAAAUGAUAUUAGAGUGUCAGAGAAUUCAUACAUUU
This 205-nucleotide small nucleolar RNA is filed under the name Hanseniaspora osmophila. The record is from RNAcentral. Lineage: Eukaryota; Fungi; Ascomycota; Saccharomycetes; Saccharomycodales; Saccharomycodaceae.